RNAcentral lists this small RNA (408 nucleotides) under Malus domestica (apple). Its description in RNAcentral is "sRNA MD06G0136800". Lineage: Eukaryota; Viridiplantae; Streptophyta; Magnoliopsida; Rosales; Rosaceae. The record is from RNAcentral.
CACCAACCCCGACGCCGACCCCUAGGGCUAAGCCCUCGACCCCCGCAAGAUCCAGGACAACUUCGAGUUCAUAUAAUGUAGGAGGAUAGUUUGAUAUAGCAGUGCUCAUGGGAUCUCCCUGAAGAGGUGAAGAAGGAACUUGAAGAUCCUCAUAUUAGGUACAGUUUUGGAUGGAGUCGUGGAAAAGAGAGGCUGCAAUCUGAUAAGCAAUGCUCUAGUGGGAGUCGACAGAAAAGACUUGAUGAGGAAGCUAUCAAAAUUUAUUUAUGAGGAAGAGAAAGCUCUUGAGGGAGGCCAAGAGUCGGUUGAGAGAAAAAGAAGUCUCACGUUUAGUUCGGCCACCAUCUCUUAUCUGCAAAGCGAAGAACUCAGCAGAUUGCAAGACUGACGCCGAUGAUGCCGAAUGAA